ACAGAAUAUUACACAGAGUCUAUACAUUUACGGGGAUGGCGGAAGGUUAAAUAACAACCGUGACAUGCGGGACUACAUGCGACCUUGAUAUCGACCCAGCUGCUGUUAAGCAACUCUGACUUUGCCCAUGAGUUUGACCUGCCACUUGACAGCAGUUCCUGAUGAGUCUCCGAUCUCAUCGCGAGCUACUGAGUGCUGCCAUCCUUUGGCACGACGUGCAUCUAUCUCUCAACUCGAUGUUGACACACGACAAUUACAAAAUGAACUGCCUUGACCUUUUGGGUGACACAGUUUCGCAAUAGACUUGCGCUGCUAUUUUACACAUUUCAUUUUGCUUUCCUACUAUUUUUAAGUUAUCAAAUAAAGCUCCGAAACAAU
Molecule: long non-coding RNA, 378 nt
Organism: Symsagittifera roscoffensis
Lineage: Eukaryota; Metazoa; Xenacoelomorpha; Acoela; Convolutidae
Exons: 2
Source: RefSeq, a predicted model, not a curated record